CGGGACACGUGGUAUCCUGUCUGAAUAUGGGGGGACCAUCCUCCAAGGCUAAAUACUCCUGACUGACCGAUAGUGAACCAGUACCGUGAGGGAAAGGCGAAAAGAACCCCGGCGAGGGGAGUGAAAAAGAACCUGAAACCGUGUACGUACAAGCAGUGGGAGCACGCUUAGGCGUGUGACUGCGUACCUUUUGUAUAAUGGGUCAGCGACUUAUAUUCUGUAGCAAGGUUAACCGAAUAGGGGAGCCGAAGGGAAACCGAGUCUUAACUGGGCGUUAAGUUGCAGGGUAUAGACCCGAAACCCGGUGAUCUAGCCAUGGGCAGGUUGAAGGUUGGGUAACACUAACUGGAGGACCGAACCGACUAAUGUUGAAAAAUUAGCGGAUGACUUGUGGCUGGGGGUGAAAGGCCAAUCAAACCGGGAGAUAGCUGGUUCUCCCCGAAAGCUAUUUAGGUAGCGCCUCGUGAAUUCAUCUCCGGGGGUAGAGCACUGUUUCGGCAAGGGGGUCAUCCCGACUUACCAACCCGAUGCAAACUGCGAAUACCGGAGAAUGUUAUCACGGGAGACACACGGCGGGUGCUAACGUCCGUCGUGAAGAGGGAAACAACCCAGACCGCCAGCUAAGGUCCCAAAGUCAUGGUUAAGUGGGAAACGAUGUGGGAAGGCCCAGACAGCCAGGAUGUUGGCUUAGAAGCAGCCAUCAUUUAAAGAAAGCGUAAUAGCUCACUGGUCGAGUCGGCCUGCGCGGAAGAUGUAACGGGGCUAAACCAUGCACCGAAGCUGCGGCAGCGACGCUGAUGCGUUGUUGGGUAGGGGAGCGUUCUGUAAGCCUGUGAAGGUGUGCUGUGAGGCAUGCUGGAGGUAUCAGAAGUGCGAAUGCUGACAUAAGUAACGAUAAAGCGGGUGAAAAGCCCGCUCGCCGGAAGACCAAGGGUUCCUGUCCAACGUUAAUCGGGGCAGGGUGAGUCGACCCCUAAGGCGAGGCCGAAAGGCGUAGUCGAUGGGAAACAGGUUAAUAUUCCUGUACUUGGUGUUACUGCGAAGGGGGGACGGAGAAGGCUAUGUUGGCCGGGCGACGGUUGUCCCGGUUUAAGCGUGUAGGCUGGUUUUCCAGGCAAAUCCGGAAAAUCAAGGCUGAGGCGUGAUGACGAGGCACUACGGUGCUGAAGCAACAAAUGCCCUGCUUCCAGGAAAAGCCUCUAAGCAUCAGGUAACAUCAAAUCGUACCCCAAACCGACACAGGUGGUCAGGUAGAGAAUACCAAGGCGCUUGAGAGAACUCGGGUGAAGGAACUAGGCAAAAUGGUGCCGUAACUUCGGGAGAAGGCACGCUGAUAUGUAGGUGAAGCGACUUGCUCGUGGAGCUGAAAUCAGUCGAAGAUACCAGCUGGCUGCAACUGUUUAUUAAAAACACAGCACUGUGCAAACACGAAAGUGGACGUAUACGGUGUGACGCCUGCCCGGUGCCGGAAGGUUAAUUGAUGGGGUCAGCGCAAGCGAAGCUCUUGAUCGAAGCCCCGGUAAACGGCGGCCGUAACUAUAACGGUCCUAAGGUAGCGAAAUUCCUUGUCGGGUAAGUUCCGACCUGCACGAAUGGCGUAAUGAUGGCCAGGCUGUCUCCACCCGAGACUCAGUGAAAUUGAACUCGCUGUGAAGAUGCAGUGUACCCGCGGCAAGACGGAAAGACCCCGUGAACCUUUACUAUAGCUUGACACUGAACAUUGAGCCUUGAUGUGUAGGAUAGGUGGGAGGCUUUGAAGUGUGGACGCCAGUCUGCAUGGAGCCGGCCUUGAAAUACCACCCUUUAAUGUUUGAUGUUCUAACGUUGACCCGUGAUCCGGGUUGCGGACAGUGUCUGGUGGGUAGUUUGACUGGGGCGGUCUCCUCCUAAAGAGUAACGGAGGAGCACGAAGGUUGGCUAAUCCUGGUCGGACAUCAGGAGGUUAGUGCAAUGGCAUAAGCCAGCUUGACUGCGAGCGUGACGGCGCGAGCAGGUGCGAAAGCAGGUCAUAGUGAUCCGGUGGUUCUGAAUGGAAGGGCCAUCGCUCAACGGAUAAAAGGUACUCCGGGGAUAACAGGCUGAUACCGCCCAAGAGUUCAUAUCGACGGCGGUGUUUGGCACCUCGAUGUCGGCUCAUCACAUCCUGGGGCUGAAGUAGGUCCCAAGGGUAUGGCUGUUCGCCAUUUAAAGUGGUACGCGAGCUGGGUUUAGAACGUCGUGAGACAGUUCGGUCCCUAUCUGCCGUGGGCGCUGGAGAACUGAGGGGGGCUGCUCCUAGUACGAGAGGACC
This 2290-nucleotide ribosomal RNA is filed under the name Escherichia coli. RNAcentral describes it as "partial 23S ribosomal RNA". It matches the Rfam family "Bacterial large subunit ribosomal RNA", at positions 418 to 2693 of the family's 2925-position model. The record is from RNAcentral. Lineage: Bacteria; Pseudomonadati; Pseudomonadota; Gammaproteobacteria; Enterobacterales; Enterobacteriaceae.